CAUGCACUGGUGGGGUCCCUUGGCCUGGCCUGCUCCCUCUUGCAAUCCAGGAAUCCUCGGGGGAUGUCAGAGAGCCGGUUUUGUCGCAAUCCCCGCAGGCCAGGCUGAGGGACCCCACCAGUGCAUG
RNAcentral lists this microRNA precursor (127 nucleotides) under Myotis brandtii (Brandt's bat). RNAcentral's name for it is "mir-9193 microRNA precursor family". It matches the Rfam family "mir-9193 microRNA precursor family". Lineage: Eukaryota; Metazoa; Chordata; Mammalia; Chiroptera; Vespertilionidae. The record is from Rfam by way of RNAcentral.